Molecule: long non-coding RNA, 941 nt
Organism: Tripterygium wilfordii
Lineage: Eukaryota; Viridiplantae; Streptophyta; Magnoliopsida; Celastrales; Celastraceae
Exons: 4
Source: RefSeq, a predicted model, not a curated record
UUUCCUUUUGUUUAAUACAGAUUCGUUGAAUCACAAAACCUCUUCUCUGCUGUGGUUCAUUGAUUUUGCAAUUAUCAUGUCCGACCCUCCUCCGCUCAGCCGUCCUCCGUUAGUGUGGCCAAAAACAACACUUGGGAUCUCAUAUGAAUUUCUGUUUGCGGAUGAAGAUUGAUCCUUCUACGAGUUCUUCUCCUUCAAUCUAGCAUCAACUGUGAAUCUCCCUGUUUUCCCCCCUUUCUAAGAGUCUCACAGUGGUGUGUCAUUGUCAGGAUAAUCCGACUAUGGGAAUCACGAAACACGAGAACUGGUGAAACAAUAAGUCUCGACAUGAUCCUACUUGAUCGUGAGGAGUCGCAAAUGCAUGCUGUUAUUUGGAAACGGCAAGCUGAACGCUUCCGGGAUAAUUUGAGGGAGGGAACAGUCUACAAAAUAACAAAUUUCAAAGUGAUUGAGAGCAAAGAGAAAUACAAACCAGUUGAUGAGCAAUACAUCAUAAAUUUCUUACCCAACACUAGCUUGGUGGAACUUCCAGAUGACUCUUCAAUUUCCAUUGCCCAUCACAAGUUCUGCUUUUAGGGACGUGAGGAAUUAUUGAAACGCUUAGACAACCAUGCUCUGCUAUCAGAUGUUAUUGGUCCACUAACUGGUGUGGGAGCUAUUGAGCCGACUUUGGUUCAAGGCUCUAUGGUGGACAAGACGGAUGUAGAGCUACAGCUUGAAGGGUAGUGAUAUCUUAUACCUAUUUGUUUGAUUUAUAGUUGGACACAUAAUUAAUAGUCUUUUUAAAGUCCAUAAACCAGUGUAUUGAUAUUCAUGAUUUCGUUGUGCAGAAAUUUCCAAGUGAAAGUAACCUUAUGGGCAGAAAAAGCUCAUAGAUUUAUGAGUGUAGUCAAACAGUUGGAAGAGCAAUCACGUGUUGUUAUUGUAACUUCAACGAUGGU